RNAcentral lists this transfer RNA (86 nucleotides) under Deltaproteobacteria bacterium. Its description in RNAcentral is "tRNA-Leu". It matches the Rfam family "tRNA". From Rfam's summary of the family: Transfer RNA (tRNA) molecules are approximately 80 nucleotides in length. Their secondary structure includes four short double-helical elements and three loops (D, anti-codon, and T loops). The record is from RNAcentral. Lineage: Bacteria; Pseudomonadati; Myxococcota; Myxococcia.
GCCCGGAUGGCGGAAAUGGUAGACGCACGGGACUUAAAAUCCCGCGAAUUUUAUUCGUGCCGGUUCGACCCCGGCUCCGGGCACCA